RNAcentral lists this ribosomal RNA (391 nucleotides) under uncultured bacterium. Its description in RNAcentral is "bacterial SSU rRNA". It matches the Rfam family "Bacterial small subunit ribosomal RNA", at positions 28 to 423 of the family's 1533-position model. The record is from RNAcentral.
AGCGAACGCUGGCGGCGUGCUUAACACAUGCAAGUCGAGCGGUAAGGCCCUUCGGGUACACGAGCGGCGAACGGGUGAGUAACACGUGGGUGACCUGCCUCUAGCUCUGGGAUAAGCCUGGGAAACUGGGUCUAAUACCGGAUAUGACUCCACGGCGCAUGUUGUGGGGUGGAAAGCCUUGUGUGGCUAGAGAUGGGCCCGCGGCCUAUCAGCUUGUUGGUGGGGNGAUGGCCUACCAAGGCGACGACGGGUAGCCGGCCUGAGAGGGCGACCGGCCACACUGGGACUGAGACACGGCCCAGACUCCUACGGGAGGCAGCAGUGGGGAAUAUUCCGCAAUGGACGAAAGUCUGACGGAGCGACGCCGCGUGCAGGAUGAAGUCCCUCGGGA